GCGGCAAUACAAAUAGGCCAAAAAGAGAAAAACAGCCCAAAAUAGCACAGAUAUUGAAAAUCAGGACAGAGAUAAUUUCUCUACACAUAAAAAGCAAUCAAUUGCUAUGCCUUCACUAAUUCAUUAACUGCAAAACAAAGCCUGUUUGUUUGGUACAGCACCAGCUACCCCAUGUUUGAAUUGUUAUGUGACUGAAGUGUGAGAAAUUUGAAUCAUUUAUUCUCCAAAAAGUUUUGCUCACUUAUUAUGCAAGUUUCAGGUCAGAAAAUGUCCACGGUCUUUCCCAUCACAGAGUUUACCAUCUAGUUGUGAGGAAGACAUUGGACCAAUUAUUACCCAAGUGAACCUCUAAUUGCAGACAUAAGAACAAAGACAGCACCAGCCAGGAAGCCUGACCUAGUUUGCAAGUCAAGGAAGACUUCCUGGAGGAAAUGAUAGCUAAACUGGAACCUGUCAGGCCAGGGAUCUAGCUCAGUGGUGCUGCCACCUGCCUCACAAGUGCAAGGUCCCAAGUUUGAUCCCUGAUACUAAAAAAAACAAAAACAAACAAACAAAAAAAAAAACAAUAAGCUGGAACCUGUCAAUGUGGAUAAAUCAGCCAGGUAAAGAAGUAGAUAAAGUGUUCUAGACAAAGAGAACAGCAUUUAGGGAAGUAGACAUGGCAGGGGAGGACCUUGAUGUAGCCAAAGAAUGGAAAACAACAUGUAUUGUGUGAGUGACAAGUAACUGGAGAGUGGGAAAAGUGUGGCUAGAGUUGGAGGCAGAGUCUGGUCUUAGAGCCUUGCUGGAUCACAUGACAUUAGAGCAACAAUCGUUGCUGGACUUGGGUCAGAAGCAAAGAUAAGAGACAUGAAUAAGACCAGGCCCCUCAAGGAUAUUCUGGGCUUCUCGAGGGAACAGCCUAGGAAAAGGUCCAUCUCCCUGGACUGGGCUUAGAGGCACUGCUGGAUAUUCCCCAAUUCUCUGAGCACCCAAGAAAGUCUGUGCAGAGACAUCCAGGACCAUGCCUAACCCAAGACUACUCCAAGCAUCUCUCCUCGAGCCAAUCCUUCUUUUAUUUUCAAGAUGGCACAUCUGUGCUCAAACUCCAGGCCUCAUCUCCCAAGCUCAAAGAGGAAGAACAAUUUACUUCCCUGCCCAGGUCACUUUCCAGUGUCUAAGAGGGUUUCUGGGACCACUGCUUCAGCUGCAGCCUUAAUUCCUUGAUUGCCACCUACAACCCAGCACAUGCAAAGGGGCCAGGGACAGAAUAAUGCCAAGCAUGCCAGACACCAAUUGGCACUGAAUCUAAUCAAAGACCGUUGUUGAUCUCUUUCUUGAUAAAUAUUUAUUAGAGAAUGGAAAAAAAAUCUUUAACAAACUCUCAUAUGAGCAUACGUUGGAUGUACUCAGAAUACAUAGGAUCCCUACCCAGGGAGUGGCAGGAACAGUAUUCCCCUUGUCACCACUAAAGAAAGCAACUCUAUGAAAUGGAGAAUGUUCUCCAAUUAGAACCCAAGGCAAUGGAUCAAAAUUUAUAAUAUGCAGUCGUGAAUUAUAGAACAAUCAGAGAAAUGAUCCCAUAUAGAAACCUGCCAUGCCAGGAAUCUCAGCAAUUUUCUAUGAGAACUCAUCACUAGACAGCCCCCACUGAAACCACACCUGUCCUCAGCCUCCCACCCAUGAUCCCAGGCUAUCAGGCCAGGCUUAGGCUUUUUCUUUUCUUUUUUAAAAUUUGUUAUUAAUAUAUGUUUGUGACAUAUAAUAAUUACAUUCAUUUUUGGGAAUUGGUACAUUCACAUAUUGCAUGUUGAUCAUCUUUACUCUUCUUUCCCUUUCCCCUCUUUUCCUUUCCCAGAUCUUCCCAUCUUCAAAAUCUUCCUGUUUCCUGCCAUCUUUAUUUUGCUGUUUAAAUUAUUUAUAUUUUGGCUUUCUCAUAUGAAAAACCAUGUGAUAUUUAACCUUCUGUGUCUGAUUUACUUCACUUAGCAUUAUAUCUCAAGAUCCAUCAAUUUUCCUACAAAUAACUCAUAUUUAUCCCUCUUAUGGCUGAGUAGUACUCUAUUGUGUAUAUUUUCCACAUUUUCUUUAUCCAUUCAUUUGUUGAUAGGCAUACAGUAUAGGUAACUUCCAGAAUUUAGCUAUUGUGAACUGUGCUGCUAUAAACAUGAGUAUUCAUUAAUCAUUAUAAUAUGAUAACUUUAACUCUUUUGGAAAGAUACCCAGAAAGGGUAUAACUGGGUCAAAUUGAAGUUUUUUACUUUUAGUUUUCUGAGAAAUCUCCAUACUGAUUUUCAUAGGGGUUCUACUAGUUUACAUUCCCAUUAACAAUGUAGAAGUUUCCUUUAUCCCCACAACCUCACCAAAAUUUGUUGUUUCUUGAGUCUUUGAUGAUACCCAUUCUUACUGAAGUAAGAUGGAAUAUCAGUGUUUUGAUUUUUGUUUUUUAAUGGCCAAAGAUGCUGAAAAGCUUUUUAUGUACUUAUUGGUCAUUUGCACUUCUUUUAAGAAGUGCCUAUUCAUUUCAAUUGCCCAUUUUUGAUUGGGUCUUUUGUUUUUUGAGGUCUAAUUUUUUUUCAGUUCUUUAUAAAUUCAAAAUAUUAGUCUUCUCUUCAAGGAGUAGCUGGUAAAAUUAUUUUCCCAUUCAGUAGGUUAUCUCUUCAAUCUAUUUCCUUUGCUAUGCAGAAGUUUUUUUUAAUUUGGGGUAAUGCUAUUCUUAUAUUAUUUCAUGUAUAGUUUGGGAUUCUGUUCAAAAAGAACUAUGCCUAUGCCUUUGUCUUCAAGAAUUAGAUAUUUUGUCUUCCAGCAUGUUCAGCAUCUGUUGUUAUAUGUAGGUCUUUGAUCUAUUUUGAUGUUAUAUUAGCUUAGGAUGAGACGGAUGGGUCUAGAUUCAUUCUUCUACACAUGGAUAACUAAUUUUCCCAGCACCGUGUGUUAAAGAGACUGUCUUUUCUCCAGCAUUUGUUUUUAGUACCUUUGUCAAAGAUCAGACUAAAGGUGAAAAGGGCUGUUUCUGUAUCUUCUAUUCUUUUCCAAUGCUGUACAUGUCUAUUUUUUAUCCUCUUUUGAUGAUUAUAGCUUUGUAGUAUAACUUGAAAUAUGGAAUUGUAAUGCCUCUUGCUUUGCUCUUAUUGUUCAGGAUUGCUUUGGCUCCAUAUAAAUAGCCUCAUAUAAAUUUUAGGAUUGUUUUUUCUAGUUCUGUGAAGAAUGUUGUUGGUAUUUUGACUGGAAUUGCAUAAAAUCCAAGUAUUAUUUUUGAUAAUACGGUCAUUUUGACAAUAUUGAUUCUGCCCAUCCAGGAAUGUAGGAUAUCUGCCCAUUUUCUAAUGUCCUCUUCAAUCUUUCUUCAGAGUGCUAUAGUUUUCCUUAUAGAUAUUUUUCACUUCCUUGGUUAAGUUAGUACCUAAGUAUUUAAUUUUUUUUUUUUUUUUUUUUUUUUUUUGGUACCCGGGAUGGAACUCAGGACCUUGCGCUUUUGAGGCAGGCAGCGGAACCACUGAGAAAAAUCCCUGGCCCCAGUAUUUAAAUUUUUUGAAGCUACCAUGAAUGGGAUUGUUUUCCUAAUUCCUUUCUUAGUGGGUUCAUUGUUGAUGUACAGUCUUGGAGAUUUUCAAGUUCAGAGUGAACUAUCAGUGAGAAAUCGAGCUUGAGGGUUCUGGAGUCAGGAGUAGACUCACAUCCAGCUCUAGAUACUUCCAAGCUGGAUGACUCCAGGCAAGUGGUUUAAACUUCUAAACCCAGUUUUCUCCUCUGUCAAGUAAAAAUAAUAGCUUCUCUAGAAAGAAUAUGUAUGAGGAUAAUACCUGCAAAACUCUCAACACAGAGCCUAGCACAGGGUAAAUGUUCAUUAAAUAUUUGGAACCUUGCUCCCCUCUCUACCAGCUCAGAUUGGUUGCCAAAAAUUCUGGUUCUCAUUGUAUUUGUGGGAACUGCUUCUCCUUCAAGCCAGCCUAAAAGAGCCAGUUUGCUCACUUUUGCCCAGCUGGGCUAGCAGCAUCCACCUCUUCUCAGCCAGCAUUUAGCUCAGUGCUAGCCUCUUCUCUCUAUUUAACACCAAAAGGUAUUGAUUUUCCUAAGCUAUUUCCAUUAUGCAGUACCCUCAAGAACUAUUUAUUCCAUCAGUUCUCAUCCCCUCUUUUUUUUUCUUUUUCUUUUUCUUUUUUUUGUACUGGGGAUCAAACUUGGGUCCUUGUGCUUUGGAGGCAGGUGGUGGAAACACUGAGCUAAAUCCCCAGCCCAAAUCCCCUCUUUUUUUUUUUUUUUUUGGUACCGGUGAUCGAACUCGGGACCUUGCGCUUGCGAAACAGGCACCGGAAGCACUGAGCUAAAUCCCCAGCCCCCAAAUCCCCUCUUCAUAGCCACUCUCCCUUGACCCACAGGAUCCUCAGCUGCUGAGGUAUAGAUCUGUUUCAUUUUGCACUUGCUUAAAGGUCAAACAUGAAUUUCUCCCCAUUAUUGUACUGCAUCUUGUCACACAGACUCUUUGUUUCAUGGAUUAGUCACAGUCUUGCUAUCAAAUUAAAUAUUCCUCGGUGGUUAUUUUUAGAGAGAUCUUUUUCUAACUCUAUGUGGUACAAUGAUGUGUGUGCACCCACAGCUCUGGAAUCCAGGCAUUACCAGGUGGGCUUCAAAAUGCCUCUAGAAAGCAGCAGCCAGCAGAGCAGUGAAGUUUGUAACCUAGCUCUGGCCAUGGGCUUCUACAUCCAGCCCACAAUAUUUAAUCCUCUCUGCCUUGGAUGAGAAAUAAUUCAUUAAUCAGUCUACUAGAAGCCCUAAAGAGACUCUUAGCACAACUCUUAUGAGUUGAGCAAAGCAUGCCUGUGCUAUCUCAAUCUCUUGUUUGGCUGUCUCCUCUAUCCUAGUGUAAGGACACCAAGGAUAAUAGUCCCCUCAGUCCUUGUACCUUCAUGAAGCUUGCUCUCAGAAAAGGGCCUAUCACCAUCCUGACUGAGACCUGAGUCAAUGAUAGUGGUUACAUCCCUGUUUCUUCCUAUAGGUUCUGCCUGCACACUCAGGCAUGCCUCAGUAGAGAAAUGAGGUCUUCAAAACAGAACAGAAUCUCAGAUCUAGUUGGAGUGGGUAGACAUGGGAAGAAGGAGUUUGCUAACGGCGAGUCUUCUUUACCUACUGGAAGGCACUAUGACAAUAAGAAGUUGUACCUUCCUUGGGCCUCAAGGAACUCAAAGGUAGCCAGAGUGACAAAACCCAUAGAUAGACUAAAUUAUAAUUCAAGACAGGAUUUAACAUUUUCCCCUGGGGUAUGGUCUGUGAGGAGCUCUGUCAGAUUUCUUACUCCUCAUGUUCCCUUCCAUGUGUGGGUCUCCACUGACUGUGACAUGUGGGGCCUCUCUCACCCAGAUCAUGUGAGACUAGAGUGAAGUGGAAAAGGGGUAAUUCUCACAUCAGUUUGCAUAUCCAGUUGACCUCACUCUAAACUGCCUCUUUCACUAAGCCUCCAUCACUAAAGAAGAUGACAAUUUGGCUUUCAUCUCAGUUUUUCUUUCUCAAUUUGUUCAGAAGUUGAGUAGGGAAAAGGAACUAUUUGUUGGAGUAUUGGGAGCCCUUUCAAAGAGCCCCUAUAGACUAUAAAUCCUUCAGAUGUUCAGAGGCACAGGAGGCUGAGUGGCUUUAAAAUAUCCAGGAAGGCUUAGCCAAGGAGGCAAGGUCUCAGAGGAUGAGUUUAGUUUAGUUGGAUAUGGCCCAAGAGUAAACAGAAGCAUUCUUGGAGGAGGUCUCAUAAACCAAGGCACAAGAGAGAGGGAGAAACAUACCUAAAUAGGAAGCAAUGACAAGGUAACCAGAGCCCAAGAUUGCCUUGGGAGAGGUGGCAAGUGGAUAGAGGCAGACUGUGGAGAAUUGUGAGCAGUCAGUGUUGACUAAUCAGUUGGUCAAGAUAUAUUCCCAAAGGCUCUUCUAAGUCCAGGGGAAGUGACUACAGGCAGUCAAUGAAGGGUUACAAGACAGUCUAUAUGAGGCCACUGUGAGGCCUUCAAGUGGAAGAAUAUGACUGUUGAAGACUGGCUAGAGGUGCGGAAACAUGCAGGAGGACACAAAUAUUUGAUCUUGAACCAUUCCACCAGCUGAGGACAGCCUGGUUAACCAUUCAGAAAGCUUACUGGGAAAGGUGCAAAUGUGGAUCACUUGAUGGGAACUAUUUUUUCCAGUGAGGAGAAGUAGAAUCAGUAAAUGAACAGUUGAGAAAAAUCAGCAUCUUAUUUAACCACCAAAGAAAGACAGAUUGAAGCUACAAUGAGACCCCUCUUUCACCCAUCAAAGUAAAACAAUAAAAAUAAAUGAUAGUGUCCAGACAAGUGUAUGAGAGUAAGGGAUCUACUCUAAGUGAGUGGGUCCAGUCAGUCCUCCCACCAACAAAUAGCAAGUAGAUAUCAAGAAUCCUAAAUCUAUUAGUUCUAUGAGAAUAUAUCAGAGUAAGUUCCAUUUACAUAGAUAUUCAAUGCAAUGCUGUCUAUAAAUAUUGAAAAUAACUCAAAUGAAUACCAGUAGAGGAUGAAUUGAUUGAACAUGGGGCGUAUUAUGUGAAUUUUAUGUAAUCAAUAAUAUCCAUGAAAGCCAUAUACCAACAUAGAGAAUAUAUAUUUAUGUAACAUUCAGUGGAAAAAUAAUAGGCCUGAAACUGCUCACAAUGUGUGAUUAUGCAAGAAUAAACACAUGUAGAUACAAAUCAGAGGAAUAUAUACUAAGAAGUGCCUCUGUCUUUCUUUCUGGAAUGUAGUUGUAUAAAACAGUGCAGCUUCCUCAGAAGCAUAACACACACAGGCAGAGCACAGAGAUGGACAGCACUGAAGCCCACCUUUCUACCCUCCUGGCAAUGAGCAGAGAUGAUAUCUCAAAGCCAGGCUGUCAUUAUACAGAGAAAAGACAGCAUUAGGCAUGGGUUCCUAUAUCUACCUCAUCCUCCCCAGCCCCACUCAUCUACUAAUCUACCCUGGCAAGCCCAAGCCUUGACUUCCAAGACACAAGGCCUUUUUCUCUUUGUGAUGACUGAGGGCUGUGGUCACUCGGCAAAGCCUAGAGCCCCUCAGUGCCUCUCACACAAUGGUUGGAAAAAGGCAGUCAUCCCCCUGCACUGUACUCCUUGCCUCUACCUUCACACUGGCAGCUCCUAUUUUGCCCAUUUGGACUUUCAUCCCUAUUGCUCCAUGGAAAUCCCACAUUAAUGCUAUCAAGGAUGUCUGUGAUGGCAAAUCUGAUGAUUGUUUCUCUGUCCUUGUCCUACUUUUCCUACUCAGCAGUAUCCAACACAGUGACCAUUUCUUUCUUGGCACACUUGCUUUUACAAGCUUAUAAUAAACUAUAGAGUCAGCUGUCCAUAUCUGUGGUUUCCAGAUCAGUGGAUUCAACAAAUUCUUGUGGAUUGAAAAUAUUUUUAAAGAUUGUGUCUAGGCUGAACACAGAAAAACUUUUCUUGUCAUCAUCCACUAAAAAAU
RNAcentral lists this long non-coding RNA (7427 nucleotides) under Heterocephalus glaber (naked mole-rat). RNAcentral's name for it is "lncRNA (ENSHGLG00100039284.1)". Lineage: Eukaryota; Metazoa; Chordata; Mammalia; Rodentia; Bathyergidae. The record is from RNAcentral.